Molecule: long non-coding RNA, 4820 nt
Filed under: Salmo salar (Atlantic salmon)
Lineage: Eukaryota; Metazoa; Chordata; Actinopteri; Salmoniformes; Salmonidae
Description: lncRNA (ENSSSAG00000083849.1)
Source: RNAcentral
CUGCCAUAUGAGUUCUGUUAUACUCACAGACACCAUUCAAACAGUUUUAGAAACUUUAGGGUGUUUUCUAUCCAAAGCCAAUAAUUAUAUGCAUAUUCUAGUUACUGGGCAGGAGUAGUAACCAGAUUAAAUCGGGUACGUUUUUUAUCCGGCCGUGUCAAUACUGCCCCCUAGCCCUAACAGGUUAUACUGGUCAGGACGUGACAAUACAACACUGAAAUGCUUACUUAUAAGCCCAUAACUAACAACACAGUUUUAAGAAAAAUAAGAGUUAAGAGAGUAUUUAAUAAAAUAAACUGAAGGGAAAAAAAUAAUUGGAUAAGUACUGUAGCCUAUGCCAUUUUAUCCUUUUUCUUUUACAGAUUGUGUAUUCAUUGCGUUUCUAACAUGCUGACCACACCACUCGCAUUACGUGCGUGAGCGUUGCAAAAUAAUUGUAUGCAUACAUGUUAUUCAAUCAUUGCAUCCAAAAUGCUCACACGUGUCAAUGGGCUUCUGCGUAGCCAGGCCCUAAAUAUAGAACUUGAUUAUAUUUGUGACGCUUGAUGCUCUGCAAGUCCCACCUCUCGCAUCUCCUCAUUGGUUAUUAGGAGAAUAUACCCACGUCGGUGAUUGAAAGAUGAACUGAGGUCCACACUCCAGUCCAGGCCAGUUGGUGGUGGUAAUGCACCUUAAAGUUGGUUUCCAACCGCCAUAUUAAGUCCAAAGAAGAAGAAGACUGAAGGAGGAGAGAUUACUAGAAAACUAACUUUGUUUACCCUUUUAUCUGUGGGUUAAUUCUCAGAGUAGAGAACCUUGUGCAUUUCAGGUAAAAUAACAACCCAAUGUUUAUAUCCCAGGACAAAUUAGCUAGCAACAGCAACCUAGCUAGCUAAAUGUCCAUGAAUGUUUAAUACUUUUCGAACUGUCCCCAAAUUAAUAUAGUUGGUUCAAAGUUCGUUUUGAUAUUUCAAACUGCGUGUCGUGAUGGCGUCUGGUGUGGAUGGACAAAAUCAACGUGUGCGAUGGCACACUCGGACGUAUGCGUGUGCCCGGUCUAGUCAGCAUGUAUGAAGUCAUUAAAAGGGAGUCAAUAUAAAAAGUAACUGCAUAAAGAGCAGUUGAUACUGUGUACAGUCGUGGCCAAAAGUUUUGAGAAUGACACAAAUAUUAAUUUCCACAAAGUUUACUGCUUCAGUGUCUUUAGAUAUUUUUGACAGAUGUUACUAUGGAAUGCUGAAGCAUAAUUACAAGCAUUUCAUAAGUGUCAAAGGCUUUUAUUGACAAUUACAUGAAGUUGAUGCAAAGAGUCAAUAUUUGCAGUGUUGACCCUUCUUUUUCAAGACUUCUACAAUCCGCCCUGGCAUAUUGUCAAUUAACUUCUGGGCCACAUCCUGACUGAUGGCAGCCCAUUCUUUCAUAAUCAAUGCUUGGAGUUUGUCAGAAUUUGUGGGUUUUUGUUUGCCCACCUGCCUCUUGAGGCUGGACCACAAGUUUUCAAUGGGAUUAAGGUCUGGGGAGUUUCCUGUCCAUGGAUCCAAAAUAGCGAUGUUUUGUUCCCCGAGCCACUUAGUUAUCACUUUUGCCUUAUGGCAAGGUGCCCCAUCAGACUGGAAAAGGCAUUGUUCGUUACCAAACUGUUCCUGGAUGGUUGGGAGAAGUUGCUCUCGGAGGAUGUGUUGGUACCAUUCUUUAUUCAUGGCUGUGUUCUUAGGCAAAAUUGUGAGUGAGCCCACUCCCUUGGCUGAGAAGCAUCCCCACACAUGAAUGGUCUCAGGAUGCUUAACUGUUGGCAUGACACAGGACUGAUGGUAGUGCUCACCUUGUCUUCUCCGGACAAGCUUUUUUCCGGAUGCCCCAAACAAUCGGAAAGGGGAUUCAUCAGAGAAAAUGACUUUACCCCAGUCCUCAGCAGUCCAAUCCCUGUACCUUUUGCAGAAUAUCAGUCUGUCCCUGAUGUUUUUCCUGGAGAGAAGGGGCUUCUUUGCUGCCCUUCUUGACACCAGGCCAUCCUCCAAAAGUCUUCAUCUCACUGUGCGUGCAGAUGCACUCACACCUGCCUGCUGCCAUUUCUGAGCAAGCUCUGUACUGGUGGUGCCCCGAUCCCGCAGCUGAAUCAGCUUUAGGAGACGGUCUUGGCGCUUGCUGAACUUUCUUGGGUGCUCUGAAGUCUUCUUCACAACAAUUGUACCGCUCUCCUUUAAGUUCUUGAUGAUCCGAUAAAUGGCUGAUUUAGGUGCAAUCUUACUGGCAGCAGGAUCCUUGCCUGUCAAGCUCUUUUUGUGCAAAGCAAUGAUGACGGCACGUGUUUCCUUGCAGGUAACCAUAAUUGAUAGACGAAGAACAAUGAUUCCAAGCACCACCCACCUUUUGAAGCUUCCAGUCUGUUAUUCGAACUCAAUCAGCAUGACAGAGUGAUCUCCAGCCUUGUCCUCGUCAACACUCACACCUGUGUUAACAAAAGAAUCACUGACAUGAUGUCAGCUGGUCCUUUUGUGGCAGGGCUGAAAUGCAGUGGAAAUGUUUUUGGGGGAUUCAGUUCAUUUGCAUGGCAAGAGGGACUUUGCAAUUAAUUGUCUCAAGUCUCAAAAAUUUUGGCCACGACUGUACAAUCUAUUUUACUCACUUCAUCUGGACUACUGAUAGAUUUCAAACUUGUUGCCAGGGAUGUAUUGCCAUCUUUAAUUUAAGUUGAUGAUGUAUAUGUGACCGACUGGGGUUUGAAUCCGGGUUUCCUACACACCACAAGACUGUGUUAGCCCGCUGAGAUAAAGCAGUUAGCUUAAGUAGCCAACACAAGUCUCCAAGUUUCAGACAAGGUUACUCAUCGUGUGUGCGUUGUUCCAAAACACAUUUUACAUUUUAGUCAUUUACCAGACGCUCAAGAGCAAUUAGGGUUAAGUGCCUUACUCAAGGGCACAUUGACUGCUUUUUCACCUAGUCGGCUUGGGGAUUCGAUUCCAGUGACCUUUUGGUUACUGGCCCAACGCCCUUAACUGCUAGGCUACCUGCCGCCCUGUUAUAUCUAGUCAUGUUUAAGUUGUUGAUGCAUUCUUAUAUUUAAGUUCUUGCCAUAUUACCAUUGUUAUAUCUAGCCAUGUUUAAGUUGUUGAUGUAUUGUCAUAUUUAUGUUCUUGCCAUAUUGCCAUUUUGAAGGAAUAGUUUCCUGAGCACACAGCGGAGCAGCACUGUCUCUGUCUUUUCAGACCCGUAGACAGGACACACCAGAAGGAUAAUAUGUCUACAUUAUUGUCUUUUCCACAGUAGAACGACGUGUUUAGUUUCUUAAUUGCCGUGUUUAAAACAAACAUGAAAUUGCCACCAUGCCAAUGCAGUCCUACAAUAUACAGUACGCCCUAAGUGGUGCGUUCAGCAAGCCCAUUAUUUACUCACAGAUAGAUCACAAUAAUCCAAUAUCUCUAUCCAAAUGUGCCUAUAGUAUCGAAACUCUUGCAUAUCCAGAUUAGAUUUCACUUAUUUUAUUUUGUUAGCAACAGUUCCCUUCCCAUAUUUUAUUAUUGAACAUAUGAUUCCUAAUGCCUAGAAUGAUAACUGUUUCAUAUGUACAGUAUAGCCAACUGAACAAAAAAAAGAUUUACUAAGUAUUAUCAUUGCAUCUGCAACAACAGACUUAGUGUAUGUUCCUUAGAGUUUGCUAUUACACUUUCGUAUUGAAUGAGAACAAUGCACGCAUCAAAUCUAUUUUACAAAUGUAGUGACAGUAUACUGCAUGUAUGACAAAAAAGUCAGCACUUGUUUACAAUUUAAUCAGAUGUAGGAUCUUAAUUUGAGCCAGUUUGCUACUGCAAGAAAAUAAUCAUGCAGCAACAGGAAAUGUGAAUUAAUAUGUGGAUUAUAAUAUAUUUCUAGGGGAUGAUACAUUUUUCAUCAAGUCUGAAAUUUCAAAGUGGAAAUUACUGACUUCAGAAGCCUUUUUAAACCUCAAACGUUCUCCUGCAACAGGGCGAUCAAAUUAAGAUCCCACCUGUAUAUUUACAUUGCCUCAAGGUAUGAGAAAAUACUCAUACUAAAGAAAGGAUGUUAUCUUUAUGAAAAGUUUGUUUUGAAUCUGUUCACUUAUAGUGAAGGUUGUUUAUAUUCCCCCCAUGUACAUAGACACUGUGAUUAGAAAAUACAUGUCUAAUAGUAGUUAAUUAAUGAAAGUGAGCGUUUACUGUUAUUUUUUAUACAAUUUUGUUAAAAUAUUUUUGUGUAGGGUUAGCAAAGCAAUUGAGAGAGAUUAUGCGUUUCAAAAUAACUUUUAAAGCUGUCUCCACUGGAGUCUGAACUUUUAACAUAAGCCCCACAUGAAGACGACCUGGUAUCCAAAAGAUGUUCCGUUUGAAAUGAACCUCUUAGAUAAUGUGCAUGUUUGUGCCAAAAUGGCAACAUGUUUGGUGGUCCCUGCUCCUCAACUUACCUUACUCAUGGCCUGUGAUAGGCAGGAACUCCCUGAGUGAGCCAUUUGUUGUGUAUAAUGAUGAUGAUGAUGGUGAGGAUGAUACUGUAUCUACAGUAGAAACAGCAGUCACGUAGCAUGUUGCAUUCAUGUUUUUCCCUCAUAUUUUGUUCCUUAGAUCGGUCAUGUGUUUGCUUCUCCUGGUCACUAUUUAUACCUUGACCUAGGGUGUUUACAGCAUAGAAAUAGAAUGACAUUCUCAUUCUAUGUCAUUGUAUAUCUAUUCUUUACAGUGCGUACCUCCUCUUGGUCUCUGGUUUGCAUGCUGAUGAUAAAGAAUACUUUUCCAAACCAGACAUUGGACAUAAUUAUUGUCAUUUCUGUGGUUUGUGAAAUGCUUUGUAAUGGAUUGCCUUAAUAAAGUGACUGAAGAUUAAUGAAA